Molecule: ribosomal RNA, 241 nt
Filed under: uncultured Actinomycetales bacterium
Lineage: Bacteria; Bacillati; Actinomycetota; Actinomycetes; Actinomycetales
Description: partial 16S ribosomal RNA
Rfam family: Bacterial small subunit ribosomal RNA
Source: RNAcentral
ACUCGAGUGGCGAACGGGUGAGUAACACGUGGGUGAUCUGCCCUGCACUUCGGGAUAAGCUUGGGAAACUGGGUCUAAUACCGGAUAGGAGCCAUCUUUAGUGUGGUGGUUGGAAAGUUUUUCGGUGUAGGAUGAGCUCGCGGCCUAUCAGCUUGUUGGUGGGGUAAUGGCCUACCAAGGCGGCGACGGGUAGCCGGCCUGAGGGGGUGUACGGCCACAUUGGGACUGAGAUACGGCCCAG